AGAGUUUGAUCCUGGCUCAGGAUGAACGCUGGCGGCGUGCUUAACACAUGCAAGUCGAACGAUGAUCCGGUGCUUGCACCGGGGAUUAGUGGCGAACGGGUGAGUAACACGUGAGUAACCUGCCCUUAACUCUGGGAUAAGCCUGGGAAACUGGGUCUAAUACCGGAUAUGACUCCUCAUCGCAUGGUGGGGGGUGGAAAGCUUUUUGUGGUUUUGGAUGGACUCGCGGCCUAUCAGCUUGUUGGUGAGGUAAUGGCUCACCAAGGCGACGACGGGUAGCCGGCCUGAGAGGGUGACCGGCCACACUGGGACUGAGACACGGCCCAGACUCCUACGGGAGGCAGCAGUGGGGAAUAUUGCACAAUGGGCGCAAGCCUGAUGCAGCGACGCCGCGUGAGGGAUGACGGCCUUCGGGUUGUAAACCUCUUUCAGUAGGGAAGAAGCGAAAGUGACGGUACCUGCAGAAGAAGCGCCGGCUAACUACGUGCCAGCAGCCGCGGUAAUACGUAGGGCGCAAGCGUUAUCCGGAAUUAUUGGGCGUAAAGAGCUCGUAGGCGGUUUGUCGCGUCUGCCCGUGAAAGUCCGGGGCUCAACUCCGGAUCUGCGGUGGGUACGGGCAGACUAGAGUGAUGUAGGGGAGACUGGAAUUCCUGGUGUAGCGGUGAAAUGCGCAGAUAUCAGGAGGAACACCGAUGGCGAAGGCAGGUCUCUGGGCAUUAACUGACGCUGAGGAGCGAAAGCAUGGGGAGCGAACAGGAUUAGAUACCCUGGUAGUCCAUGCCGUAAACGUUGGGCACUAG
Molecule: ribosomal RNA, 800 nt
Filed under: uncultured bacterium
Lineage: Bacteria
Description: bacterial SSU rRNA
Rfam family: Bacterial small subunit ribosomal RNA
Source: RNAcentral